CAAAGAAACAUAAGAAAAAGUAUUCGGAGAAUAUUUGUUAAGAAUAGCAAAAACAUCAAUUGACGUUGGAAAAAGACAUUUAAAAAGAUCUGUUGAUGUCUUUUAAAGUCACCACUAUGAGUAGAAUUUGUUGGCAAACGUUUGGCAAGAGCGGACGAUACAAAUUUCGCAAUCCCAAUAUUCAUUUGGUGAUUUAGUACAUAUGACUAAUACCUACAUACAUACAAUCGUAUGCAUGGAUUAGUAUCUAAUUCUGGCUAAGUACAUUUGGAUUGAAUAUUAGACUUUUUCCCACCAAUUCACCAGUGGUGAGUCUACAUAUAUACAAGACUGUGUCCUGAAUGACUGACCUAUUAACCCAUAGCAAUCCGAUAAUCGUUCGAGUUAGAUGAAAUUGGGUACAUGGAGAACUUUUUUCCUGGAAAUGGAUCUGGAACCGAUCUAAUAGAAAAAUUUUUAUUUAUCAUUUGAUUUAAAUAAAUUUU
This is a long non-coding RNA of Ceratitis capitata (Mediterranean fruit fly), 485 nucleotides long. RefSeq lists it as uncharacterized. Lineage: Eukaryota; Metazoa; Arthropoda; Insecta; Diptera; Tephritidae. The transcript has 3 exons. The record is from RefSeq and is a predicted model, not a curated record.